UUGCAUCUAUUUAAGGCAUUUUGUAUCUCUUUAUGGUUAUUUUGCAUCUCUUUAUGGUUAUUUUGCAUCAUUUUGUGGUCAUUUGGCAUCUCUUUCUGUGACAUUUUGCAGGUGAAGCCCAGGGGGGGACCCAUGACCCCUUGACCCCUGGGCCUGUGCCCAGUAGGCCUGUUCAGUAAUACAUCCAUGAGUUUUUACAAGUGGCUGACCCUGGCGUGUCACUGUGGAGAUGAAUUCCCUGGGUCGGAAACACAUCUGAAAUCUGAACAGAGGCAGAAAUAUAGAUGAAAUCUGA
Sebastes umbrosus (honeycomb rockfish) is the source of this 295-nucleotide long non-coding RNA. RefSeq lists it as uncharacterized. The record is from RefSeq and is a predicted model, not a curated record. NCBI's taxonomy places the organism in Eukaryota, Metazoa, Chordata, Actinopteri, Perciformes, Sebastidae. The transcript is spliced from 2 exons.